AAGCAGGAUCACAUUUAAGGAAGUGUGUGGGGUCCCUGGAUGACACCAGCACCCAGUGCGGCUCUGUCGGGCAACCGCUCCCAAGGUGGGAGGAGUGGGUGUCCCCUGUGUGUCAGUGGGCAACUCCUGCUGAACCCGCAGCUCACUAGGGAGCCUGACAGUGGGGCCAUGCACCUGACACUCCUCUCUGCUUGUGGACCUGGCAAGGCAGGGAGCAGAAAACAGAGCCACUUGAAGGCUUUCUGUCUGCGUCUGUGUGCAGUGUGGAUUUAGUUGUGCUUUUUUCUUGCUGGGAGAGCA
Molecule: long non-coding RNA, 300 nt
Filed under: Homo sapiens (human)
Lineage: Eukaryota; Metazoa; Chordata; Mammalia; Primates; Hominidae
Description: HSALNT0265812
Source: RNAcentral